Molecule: ribosomal RNA, 253 nt
Filed under: uncultured bacterium
Lineage: Bacteria
Description: partial 16S ribosomal RNA
Rfam family: Bacterial small subunit ribosomal RNA
Source: RNAcentral
UACGUAGGGGGCUAGCGUUGUCCGGAUUUAUUGGGCGUAAAGAGCGUGUAGGCGGCCAGGUAGGUCUGCUGUGAAAACUCGAGGCUCAACCUCGAGACGUCGGCGGAAACCAUCUGGCUAGAGUCCGGAAGAGGAGAGUGGAAUUCCUGGUGUAGCGGUGAAAUGCGCAGAUAUCAGGAAGAACACCCGUGGCGAAGGCGGCUCUCUGGGCCGAUACUGACGCUGAGGAGCGAAAGCGUGGGGAGCGAACAGG